UUACCUUGGAUGAUUACCGUAUAAGCCCUAAUAUCCUUCUAGGGCAUUGCAACUAAAAUUCCUCUGGCGCGAUGCUCGACUUCGCGAUCCGCUAUGCGUUGGCCAUCGCGCUGGUCUUCUCCUGCAUAGCUCUCGGUAAUUCGCCAUUACAUUUGGAUCGAUCCAUUACCCCAAUCUCUUUCAGGAUGGUUCGUGGCGUGGAAGCUGCUGCUCGUUCACAUUCCUCUUGUCCAAGAGAUUUGCGGCUUGCGG
This 252-nucleotide long non-coding RNA is filed under the name Selaginella moellendorffii. RNAcentral's name for it is "long non-coding RNA (SMOE_LNC001599)". Lineage: Eukaryota; Viridiplantae; Streptophyta; Lycopodiopsida; Selaginellales; Selaginellaceae. The record is from RNAcentral.